RNAcentral lists this ribosomal RNA (667 nucleotides) under Atractosporocybe inornata. RNAcentral describes it as "eukaryotic LSU rRNA". The stretch from base 300 to 453 matches the Rfam family "5.8S ribosomal RNA". The record is from RNAcentral. Lineage: Eukaryota; Fungi; Basidiomycota; Agaricomycetes; Agaricales; Lyophyllaceae.
CUUGGUCAUUUAGAGGAAGUAAAAGUCGUAACAAGGUUUCCGUAGGUGAACCUGCGGAAGGAUCAUUAUUGAAUAAACUUGGUUGGGUUGCUGCUGGUUCUUCGGAACAUGUGCACACCUGGCGCCAUUUUUACCACCUGUGCACCUUUUGUAGACCUGGAUAUCUCUCGAGGAAACUCGGUUUGAGGACUGCUGUGCGCAAGCCAGCUUUCCUUACAUUUCCGGUCUAUGUUUUUAUAUACCCCAUCAGAAUGUAACAGAAUGUCAUUAAUAGGCCUUGGUGCCUUUAAAUAAAAUACAACUUUCAACAACGGAUCUCUUGGCUCUCGCAUCGAUGAAGAACGCAGCGAAAUGCGAUAAGUAAUGUGAAUUGCAGAAUUCAGUGAAUCAUCGAAUCUUUGAACGCACCUUGCGCUCCUUGGUAUUCCGAGGAGCAUGCCUGUUUGAGUGUCAUUAAAUUCUCAACCUUUCUGGCUUUUAUUAGUCCGUUAGGCUUGGAUGUGGGAGUUGCGGGCUUCUCAGAAGUCAGCUCUCCUUAAAUGCAUUAGCGAAACCUUUGUUGACCAUCUCUGGUGUGAUAAUUAUCUACGCCAUUGGGAAGCAGCUUUAAAAUCGGUUUAGCUUCUAACCGUCUUCUGGACAAUUCUUGACAUUUGACCUCAAAUCA